Long non-coding RNA from Leopardus geoffroyi (Geoffroy's cat), 9711 nucleotides. RefSeq lists it as uncharacterized. The record is from RefSeq and is a predicted model, not a curated record. NCBI's taxonomy places the organism in Eukaryota, Metazoa, Chordata, Mammalia, Carnivora, Felidae. The transcript has 3 exons.
CCUUUCCCCUAGACGAUAAUGUGUUUUUCUCAUAAAAAUUCAUGGUUUGGGCUUUUACAUUUAGGCCUCUGAUCCAUCCAUAUAACUUUUGUAUAUGGUGUGAGGUAGGUUUGAGGUUAGUUUUCCCACUGUAUGGACAUCCAUUUUUAUUUCUGCAUUGUUUGUUGUAAAGACUUGUCCCCAUAGAUUGCUUUGAUGCCUUUGUUAAAAUUAAAUGAUAAUAUAGGUAUGGUUCUAUUUCUAGAAUAUUGUUUCAUUGAUCUCUAUAUCCAUCCUAAAGGAAUGAUACAUUAUUGAUUUGUUUUGUGAAAUAUUUUUGCAUCUGUGUUCAUGUAGGAUAUUAAUUGCUGUUUGCAUUUUUGUUUUUGAUUACUGUCGCAUUAUGAAAACUCUUAGAAGUCAGGUAGUAUAAGUCUUCCCAACUUUGUUUCCCCCCUUAUUGUUAGGUCCAUAUUUAGCUUGUCAAUUUCUUCUCUAAAAACUGCUGGAAUUAAAAUUGGGAUUGUAUUGAAUUUUUUCGUAAUGAUUUUAUUGAGAUGCCAUUCAUAAGCCUUAGAAUUCAUCCGUUUAAUUAGUUUUUCAGUGAUUUUUAAUAUAUUCAGAUGUGCUCAACCAUCACUACAGAAAAUUUUUGAACCAUUGUCAUUACCUCAAAAACCCUGUACCCUUUAGCUACCAUCCCUUUACUCUCUUCACCUCCACUAAUCUUUCUGUCUCUAAAUCUGUCUCAAUAGAUUUGUCUAUUCUGAACAUUUCAGAUAGAUGUGAUCAUAUAAUAUGUGAUUUUAUGGGCAGGAUUGUGUGCUCCCCAAAUUCAUAUGUUGAAGCCCUAGCCCUCAGUUUUAUAGUAUUUGAAGUUUGGGCCUUUGGGGGAAUAAUUAAGGUUAAAUGAGAUCAUAUGGUGGGGCCCUAAGCCUGUAGGGGUGAUGUCCUCAAGAGGAAGAGACCCCAGAGAAUGCGGUCUCCCCCCCAACCCCAAGUAGGAACAGAGGAAAGGCCAUGUGAGCAUACAAGGAUGGGGCAGCCGUCUGCAAGCCGGAAGAGAGCUCUCACCAGGAGCCAACCCUGAUGGCACCUUGAUCUUGGACUUCUAGCCUCCAGAACAGUGAGAAAAUAAAUAUCUGUUGUUUAAGCCACCCAGUCUGUGGCAUUGUCUUGGCAGCCUGAGUAGACUAAUAAUACAUGCCUUCUAUGACUGGCAUCUUCCAUUUACCAUAAUGUUUUCAAACUUCAUCUAUAUUGUAGCAUAUAUCAAUAUUUUGUUCAUUUUUAUGGCUCCAUAUAAUAACCCACUGACUGGGUUUAUCACAUUUUGUGUAUCCAUCCAUCAAUUGAUGGACAUUUGGGUUAUUUCUGCCUCUUUGCUAUUAUGAAUAGUGCUGCUCUAAACAUCCAUGAACAGGUUUUUAUAUAGACGUACAUUUUCAUGCUCUUGGGUAGAUAACUAAAGUGGAAUUUGGGGGUCAAAUGGUAGCUGUAUGGUUAACUGUUUGCAUAACUAUUUUCCAAAGUGGCCAUAUCAUUCUAAUUUCCCACCAGCUGUGUGUGAGCCUUCCAGUUUCUUCACAUCCUGACCAACACUUGGUACUAUUUUUUUUUUUUUUUAUUCUAGCCAUCAUCCUGAUGGACAUGAAGUUUACUCAUUGUGGUUUUGAUUUACGUUUCCCUGAUGACUAAUGAUGUGUCUACCUUGCUUAGAGAAAUGUCAGUUAAGAUCCUUUGCCUUUUUUUUUUUUAAUGAGAGAGAGUGCACCCUUGUGAAAGGAUGAGGGGCAGAGGGAGAAAGAGAAAAAGAUAGUGUUAAGUAGUCUCCACACUCAGCCCAGAGCCCCUCGUGGACCUCAUUCCCACGACCCUGGGAUCAUGACCUGAGCCAAAAUCAAGAGUCGGACACAACCAACUGAGCCACCCAGGCACCUCUCUUUGCCCAUUUUUUAACUCGGUUGUCUUUUGAUUGAGUUUUAAAGGUUUUUAAUACUACACACAAAUACUUUAUCAGAUUUGUAAAUAUUUUCUCCUAUUCUGUGGGUUGACUUUUCAUUAUCUUGAUUGUUCUUUGAUAUAAAAGUUUUAAAAAAUGUUGAAGUCCAAUUCAUUCAUUUUUUUCAUUGGUUACUUUUUGUUGUUACAUUUAAGAAUCCCUUGCCACAUCAAAGAUCAUGAUUGAGCGUUCUGUUUUCUGCUAAGUGGUUUAUAGUUUUAGGGUAGACAUUUAGGUCUUUGACCCGUUUUGAGUUUGUAUGGUGUGAGGAGUAAGAGUUGAAAAUUCAUUCGUUUGCCUGUGGCUGUCUGAAUUGUCCCAGCACCAGUUGUUGAAAGGCCAUUUUCAUUUUCCCCCCUUGAAUGGUCUUGGCAUUUUUGUUGAAAACCAGUUGUCCACAGACACCUGGGUUUAUUUCUGGAUUCUCAGUUCUGUUCCACUGACCUAUAUGUCUGUCCUUUGCCAGUACCUCUCUGUCUUGAUUUGUGCGGUGUAGGAACUUUUUAAAUAUUUGAAGUAUGAGUACUCCAACUUUGUUUUUUCAAGACUGUUUUGGGUUCCUUGCAAUUCCAUAUGAGUAUCAGAGGGCGCUUGUCGCUUCCUACAGUAAGAAACCAGCUGGGAUGCUGAUUGGGGUUGCACUGGACGUGUAUAUCAGUGUGCGGACUAUUGCCAUCCUAGUAAUACUGCCCUCCUACCUUUUUUUAUGGAAGUAUUUGAAGGUAUAAAUUUCUCAAAGGAAUUUUUACCUUUAUUCCACCAAUUUUGGUGUGUUUUGUUUUCAUUAUGAUUUAGUUCAAAACAUUUUACAAUUUUCCUUGUUAUUUCUUUUUUGACUCUUACAUUAUAUAGAAACGUUGUUUAGUUAGAAAUGGUUGAGGUUUUCCAGGGUAGCUCAUUGUUCCUGAUUUCUAAUAUAAUUCCAUUUUGGUCAGAGAACACUCUGUAUGAUUUCAGUCUUUAAAAAUGUAGAAAGGGCCAUUUUAAUGGCCCAGAAAAUAGCCUAUUUGAUGAGCAUACGGUGGACUGUUGAAAAGGAUAUGGAGGGGCUCCUGGGUGGCUCAGUCAGUUAAGCAUCCGACUCGGUUUCGGCUCAGGUCAUGAUCUCACGGUUCAUGAGUUUGACCCCCGCAUCGGUCUCUGCUGUCAGCCCAGAGCCCAAUUCAGAUCCUCUUGUCUCCCUCCCUCUGUGCCCCUCUCUUGUUUGCGCGUGCUCACUCUCUCUCUCUCUCUCAAAAUAAAAACUUUUAAAAAAAAAGAAAAGGAUAUGGAUUCAUUAGGUGUAGAUGGUGUUGUGCUGGAGCAGGAUCGCGUCGGCUUGUGGGAGGUGAGGGUGCACUUCUCUCCCCAAGCCCCUGCUCAGUAAUGUCCCGUUAGGAGCUGGAAAUCUGCCUUGGCAGGAGGAUUAUGCCACAUUUGGUUUGGUGUAUUUUGAAGCUCUGUUAGAAGAAUAUACAUUCAUGAUGGUCUUUUUAAUAAAUUGACCCUCUAAUUAGUACGAAAUGUCUCUCUGAUCUCCGGUAUUAUUUCCUUCAAGUCUGUUUGUCCAGUACUGUUACAGUCUCUUUAACCUUCUUCAGCUUAGUUUGCGUGAUCAUCUUUCCCCAUCUGUUCACUUUCAACCUACCUGUGUCUUUGCACUUCUGUUGUGUCGUCUGUAAUAGCAUAGAGAGUCCUCCCUGUAUUUGUCCCUUCCGGUCUUCCUUGUCUUUGGAUUGUAGGUUUUAGUCUAUCUGUUAACAUUUAUUGGAAGUAUUAAUAGGUUGAUUUUUAGAUUUACCUUUUUUUUUCCUGUUCUUUAAAACAUUUCUUUGUUCCUACUCUCCUCUCUUCUUUCGCAUUAUUUGGAAUUGUUUAGAAUUGCAUUUUAAUGUAUCUGUUGGCCUUUCAGGUGUUCAUCUGAGGUUGUGUGUGUUCUUAUUCUAAGGAUUACACUGUUCUUUUUUUCUUUUUCCUUUUUGCCUAGAGUUGACCCUGGAGUUUGCACUGUGUGGGUCAACUUACUGUCAGAUUUCUUUCAAUAAGUACAGUAUUUAAAUGUAUUUUCUCUUUAUGAUUUUCUUUUCUCUACCUUACGAAUUGUAAGAACACUGCAUAUAAUACAUGUAACAUAUAGAAUGUGUGCUAAUUAACUGUUUAUGUUGUCGGUAAGGCUUCUGGCGAACAGUAGACUAAUAAUAGUCCAGUUUGUGGGGAGUCAAAAGUUAUAUGUGGAUUUUAUACCGCGUGGAGGGUCAGCACCCUUAACCCCCACAUUGUUCAAGAGUGAACUGUACUUAGAGUUCAUAUCAUGUGACCUCACGGAGAAUGUAGAAACCUUCAACUGUACAGUUCCACUUACUAUCCCACUAGCCUGUUGUAUGAUACAUCUACAUAUGCUUUAAACCCACAGACAGUAUUAUAAGUUUUUGGUUUAAACCAUCCUCUGUAUUUUAAAGAAUUAAGAAAAGUAAUCUUUUAUACUUUAUAUUUACUUUAUAAUAAUCUUGAUACUUAUAUUUACUGUUUCUGAUGGUUUUCAUUUCUUUCUCAAGAUCUAAGGUUCCAUCUAGUAUCAAUUCCCUUCCGCCUGAAAUGCAAGUCUGUACUAUGUGAAGUCCCUUAGUUUUAUUUUUGAGAAUAUUUUCACUGGAAAAAGAAUUUUUGAUUGAUGGACUUUCCCCCUCUUCAACAUUUAAAGAUGUUACUACUCUGUCUUCUGGCCUUUGUAUUUGUUAAUGAACACUUAGUGGUAAUUUUAAUUCUUGUUUGGUAUGUUACAAGUAACUUUUCCUAGUUGGCUUUCAAGAAUUUCUUCUCCCUUUUGGUUUUCAGCAGUUUAUUUUCUUUUUCUUUCUCUCUUCUUCAGAAUUGAUCAUUUUUGAUGGUCUCUCUGUGUAAGUCUUAUCUCCUCAUUCUGUUGUCAAGCCCAUCCAAUAAAUAAGUUAUUCUAGAUAAUAUUCAGUUCUAGAAUUUUUCUUCAUAGUUACUAUUUUUUACUGCAGUUAGUUUUCACUUAUUAUGACCAUGUUUUCGUUCAUAUCCUUGAGUAUAGAUAUAGGUACAUUGUCUCCUAAUUCCAACAUUGGGUUCUCUCCAGAUUAGUCUCUCGAUUAUCUCUUCUCUUGAGGAUGGGUCUCCUUUUCUUGUUUCUUUUUAUAUGAGCAAAAUUGGAUUGUGCCAUUCCCUCCUUCCGAGACUAGGCUACCCUUCAGUAUAAACUUCUUUUUGUUGUUCUCUGGUGGCUUCAGACAGUUGGUUUUAUAUUUAUUCUAGUUUAGUUACUUUUUGCCAGAAAUUGUGGUUAGAUACACUGGUACCAAUCACAGAACCAUGGUUUAAGUAUAACUUAAAGUUUCCAUGUCGACUAAAACAGCCUCCACAGUGAUGUGAGUGUUGGGAUGAAGUCAGAUUGGAGGUAGGGGUUUGCAGUGAACCGUAUUUUCUGUCAGCAGGAAUUCAGUAACUUACGCAAAGGUCAAUUGGUCAAAGAACAGUAGAGGCAUGUGAUUUGAAGAUAUGUGCAUAUCCGCCUGGACAAAUCACCUCUUAAAUUGAAAAAAAAUUAAGAGUGGUUGCUACUUAAAAAAAAAAAAGAAAGGGAUGCCUGGGUGGUUCAGUUGGCUAAGUGUUUGUCGCUUGAUUUCAGUGUCAUGAGUUCAAGCCCUGCAUUGGGCUCUGGAGCCUGCUUUAAAAAAUAAAGAAAUAAAAGAGUGGUUGCUAUUGGGGUGCCUGGGUGGCUCAGUCGGUUGGGCUUCCAACUUUGGCUCAGGUCAUGAUCUCACAGCUCUUGAGUUCGAGCCCCGCGUUGGGCUCUGUGCUGACAGCCUGGAGCCUGCUUUGGAUUCUCUCUCUCUCUCUCUCUCUCUCUCUCUCUCUCUCUCUCUCAGCCCCUCCCCUGCUUGUGCUCUGUCUCUCAAAAAUGAAUAAAUGUAAAAAAAAAUAAAUUUAAAAAAAAAAAGAGUGGUUGCUACUGAAGGUGGGGAAGGGUGAACCGUAGCACUCUUGCUUUUUAUUGUAAGUUUUUCUGCAUUACUUACCUAAGGUAUAAGUUCUUAGAAGAAAACUCAAAUUUUAGCAAGCAGGAAAUCUAACCACUACUGUCUCUAGCCACUACUGACUAAUGCUUUCCACGCCAUACUCUGGGUAAUGGGAAGGGUAAUCCUAAUUUGGGAACAAAUGUGAAGUUCAAGUCUGGAUAGAAACUUGAAGACCGAUUUUAAGAGGUUUCCUUUUGUUAAAAUUGUGCCUUUUGGUUUGUUCUGUGAGACCGGGUUCCUUGCAUUGUGUCCAGUCCUCUCUGAGGAGGUGAGGCUGGGAGGAAUGAUUGGUAGCGGGGGGAGAGUGUGUCCUGUGCUCCGGCCUUUCCUCUGGAAAGAGUACUUGGUGAAGAAGAAAGAAUUGUGUGCCUAAAAGGUUUUUAUUAACCCCCUCCCCCACCUUCAGAAGUAACAGCUGUUGAAGUCCAGAGGGGCACCUGGCGGGCCCAGUCGGAAGACCAUAGGACUCUUGAUCUUGGGAUCGUGAGUUCAACCCCAUGUUGGGUGGAGAGAUUACUUAAAUAAAUAAGAAAAAUAAUAAAGGCCAAGCAGAUACAUCAACUUUUAUCUUCAUGCCCAAUAGCAUGAAGCUUAGUAUGCGUAGAAUAGCGUAUUAGAUGCUAUUCUUUUAGGUUCCUUUUUUACUUAUUUGUGUCUUUUUAACAUAUUUUCAUAUGGCUCUAUGAAUAUACCAGUUAGUGAUUCUAAGGUUGUGGGUUUUUUUUGUUGUUGUUGCUGUUGUUUGUUUGUUUGUUUUUUAAGUGCUUCAUCCCGUGGGUGGCACAGGACCGUGGUUGGUCGGGUGUCAGUCACGACACAGUGGUCAUUACCUGCACCUGUGCAAACUUGACUAUGCCCUGUUCUGUCAGCAUUAAGGACCUUUUGAAGAAUUUGCCCUGAAAAAACCUUUUAAUACAAGCAGGCUCAGGACCUAAACUUACAAAAUGGGUGGGAGCAGAUGAGUAGGAAAUGCUUAGUUCCUCUGUGACCGGAAAGCUCACGGGCAGUACUCACGCCCUUGGUGCUCACGGAGCACCGUUACAGGUGGAAAACACAGCCCUCCUUGACAAGGGUCUUAAAGAUUCAGCGGAGUGAGACUGCGUAAAACCUCCGAGGAGUGUCUUAACCAAUUCAUUUAACUUUUCUUUACUUACAAAGAGUGUUAGGAUAAAUCUGUUUGAGUCUAAAUGGCUAAUCUUUAAGUAAACCUAAAAAUUCCAUCGAAGGAUGUUGUAUUUUAACUGGUAGCAUUUUCUUAGUGUAACGAUACGUAUUAUGAUUGGUGUCUUAGAUGAAAUUUGGUCAAUACAUCACAGGUUUUAUAGCCACUCUACGUUCUUCGACAUUGUUAAAAGCUGCGUACCAUAUCCUCAGACGAAUCUGACAGGGUAUUUACCUAAUUCCCUAUGUUUGCCGUAUAGAUUGUUACAAGGUUUUUGCCACUGUGAGCAAUGCUGUGAUAGUUUGCUAGCUUAGUAUUUUUAUAAUUCUGUGAUAAUUUCCCCAUGAUAAAUGCGUAUAGUUAUUGUAUCAAAAGGAAUGUGCUUUAAGGCUUUUGAAUAUUUCUAAAUUUUAUUCCAGAAAAAAUCCUAACUGUGUACUCUCUGACCCCCAAUGGAUAGAAGCUCCCAUUUUCCUGCACUUUGGCUAUCAUUGGGCUUCAUUGUUUCUUUAAUUUAAUAUUCAUUGUUUAAUUUAAAUUCAUUGUUAAUUUAAUAACUGGGAGAUGAAUAUAUUGCCACGAGACAGAAGUCAGUUCGAACGAGGUAACCUAAGAAGUUCCCCGGAACCAAACACCUAGAACUGUGUGCUUGGUAAAAAGUAUGAGCCUCUGUGUGGAAGCAGGAGGAUAUGAUAUGGGGAGGGGUGCUCUGGAGGACAGAGGCCACACAGAAAAGGAGACAAAGCCUUGUGCCUUGGCGAGGAGGGAGAGAGCUGCUGUUUCCAUGGAGAUCUUUAGUGACAAGAUUGUGAAGGAUAUGACGUAAUAUACAGAAGAGAACGUGAAAAUCAUAAACUCAGGAGAAUCUUCGCCUCGCUGUAGUCAGAGAAAUGCAUAUUAACACCGUGGCGACCCGCAGUACAAAUGUGUGGAAGAGGCUGUCGGCUGUUAAACAGCACUGGUGGCUGUCCAGCGACAGCACAUCUGACAACAGCUUUAUUGGGAACUACCAAAACCUGGACCUCAACCAAAGUGAUCGUUCGUAGGGUCCGUCAACAAGAAAACGGAGGACUUAUUGUAAGGUCUAAGCUGUAUCUAAAACUUGAAAACAUACGGAAUGGUAAUUUCAGGUACAGUGUUACAGUAAGAUAUAAAAACAUUCAUAGGAAGUGCUGUGCACCACAUCAUGGGGUAUUUGCCCCUAGGGAAAGCAGAAGGAAGGGAGACACUGGGGAGCAGUACAAAGCAGGUCUCUUGCAGAAUCUGUACUAUUUAAUUUCCUAAAAAGUUGAGGGAGGUGUAGCUGGAAUGAGACCAUGGGAGUAGGAGAUUUGUCCAAACUGCAUCAUCAGUUUAUAAGACUUCAUUGUAUGUUAUAAACUUGAAAUGUUUAAUGAAGUGAUUGGUUGUUUUAAGGCAGAGUUCCUUGAUUACUGAAGCUAAAGAUUUUUUUUCAGCUUUUUAACCACUAAUACAUAUUUCUUUCAGCUUUGGGAUUUUCUGUUGGUAUGCUCUCCCCAUGUUUCUGUGGAGGUUAACUUUUUCACGUUUUUAAUUCUCUUAAUUGAUUAAAGAUAGUAACUCGUUAAAGAUCUCUUUUACUAAGAUAUUUUCAGAAUCUCAGAUUAAGUGUUUAGAUGACUUUGCUUAGAAAAGCUUUCUCCAAUCUGAGAUCAGGAAACAGUUCGUGGGUAUUUUCUUCGUUUUAUGGUUUAGGUUUGUACAUUUUAAGUCUUAACCCUUCUGUGUCAUGUAUUUUGGAGUACGGAAUGUGUUUUGAAAUCACCUCUGUCUUUACGCACUAACCUGAAACAGGCCAGAAUUUAUUGUCUUAAUGAUUUUUCUUUCUAAGUCCAUGUUGUCUGUUAGUUUUAUCCAAGUGGUAAUACGUGCAGAUGAACUGAAAUCGUAUGAAAGGUUGUAUAACAAAGUAGCGUGGUUCUCUGCCUUCCCGGCCUCCCAGUCCUCAGCAGCUCCCCUCCAGCUGUUUCAGACUUCCGCUGUCUGUCCUGUGACUUACGCAGCUCCCUCCCCGUCAGUACUGCGCAUGCGUGAUGCACAUCUGUGAUUGAUCAAUUUUAGACAUUUGUGACUUCCUGUGAUAAGAGGUUUCUUGCACUGCCAUUUCUUCUGCUUUUUGUCCUUCGUCCACAAAGUGUAGCUUUGUUUACAUUCGUUUAUGAAUAAUUUUAAAAUAAAGCUUCAGUUAUUUUGAUAUUUAUAAUACAUGCUUCUAGAAAGAUAGCUAGGCAUCAAAAUAGACUCUGGUUAUAGCUUUUUGUUUUUCUUGAAGGAGAUAAUUGCUUUUUUUUUUCUCUUGUAUGGAACCUUUGUACCGAUUGCCAGUUCUUUUCAUGCCUUCUGAAGGACAGUUUCCCACAAGGUCACUCACAUUACGUGAUCUUAGAAGGUCCUGUGUUUCCUUGGUGACCUUCCUCAGAACAUUCCUUCAUUCGCAGCAGGCUGGUCCCUGGGCCUGCCGACAGGCUUGUAGGUGGGGCUGGCUGAUGUCUAGCUUCAUUGCUGUGGUGGAUGGGGUCUUAUUUUCA